AUACGGAGGGUGCAAGCGUUGUCCGGAUUUAUUGGGUUUAAAGGGUGCGUAGGUGGUUUUUUAAGUCAGUGGUGAAAGCCUACAGCUUAACUGUAGAGGUGCCAUUGAUACUGGGGAACUUGAGUAUGGACGAGGUAGGCGGAAUUUGUGGUGUAGCGGUGAAAUGCAUAGAUACCACAAGGAACACCGAUAGCGAAGGCAGCUUACUGGGCCAUAACUGACACUGAGGCACGAAAGCGUGGGGAGCGAACAGGAUUAGAAACCCUUGUAGUCC
RNAcentral lists this ribosomal RNA (274 nucleotides) under uncultured bacterium. Its description in RNAcentral is "partial 16S ribosomal RNA". It matches the Rfam family "Bacterial small subunit ribosomal RNA", at positions 523 to 796 of the family's 1533-position model. The record is from RNAcentral.